AUGAUAUUGUAACUUCACUGCAUGCUAUACAAGAUUUGACAAAAAUGACAUCACUAAUGUCAUUCCGUGUAGCUUUAACCACCAGUAAAUUGCUGGAAUGAACAAUCAUUUCCUUGACUUCACUCAUGCUUCCAAAAGCUCCACGGCACUGAACCAAAAAAUCUAAGUGGAGUUCAACUUCAGAAUCAUAAUCAACCAUGUGUAUAAAACGAGAAACUAAAUGUGCUGAAUGGUUG
RNAcentral lists this unclassified non-coding RNA (236 nucleotides) under Hevea brasiliensis (rubber tree). The record is from RNAcentral. Lineage: Eukaryota; Viridiplantae; Streptophyta; Magnoliopsida; Malpighiales; Euphorbiaceae.